Molecule: long non-coding RNA, 2025 nt
Organism: Cercocebus atys (sooty mangabey)
Lineage: Eukaryota; Metazoa; Chordata; Mammalia; Primates; Cercopithecidae
Exons: 3
Source: RefSeq, a predicted model, not a curated record
AAGAAUUUUAAUGAAAUUCUAAUUACUGUGUAAGAAAUAAGUCAAAUUCCUCUUCUCUCACUGUGAAGGGCUUUUAUUACCCACUGCUAUAAAACAUAUAUCUUUUUUUUUUUCUGUUGCUAUCCUAGCUGAGUAGCUUGCAUACCAAUAGGAUCACUAAAAUGCCACGAAGCAGAACAUAUUUAUCUGUUAAAUUCUACGUACAGUAACCUAACAAAUGCCAGAGACAGAAAGAUUGCCCUCUGCACAGUAAUACUUGUGUAGAUGUCUUCUUUAUGCUAACAAUGACAGGGCUUCAUGCCCUGUACUGUACUCAAAAAUCAGGGUGCAUUUUUUUUUCAAUAGAAGACUCCAUAUCAAAAAGAAAAAGAACUGCACAUUUUUGGCAUUGAGAUAUUUUAUGUGGGUAAUAAAUUUUUUCCCCUCGAACUCCACUAACAAGUAUCUACCUAGAAGAUGAAAUGUAAGAUUUAUGUCAUCAGAACUAUUCAGUAUACCAGAGGAUAAUUUUUUCUUCUUUUCAGGACUGUCAACUUUGUUUACUGUUUAUGUUCAAUUCUAUCCUAUAUAAGAGAUUAAAUUGCCUUGUCAUAGCCACAUGUCAAAGCCUUCUUAGAAAAAUAAGGUAAUAAAUGCAAAAUUAUAUUAAUAAGGAGUACUUUCAAAGACAUAUUACAUUUAUUGAAAUCUAAAUUAUAACUGGAAUGUUCUAAUUAUAUUUGUACUAGUCAAAAAGAGAUUUUUUAAGUAUAUAAUGUUAUGACACGUUAGUAUGUUUUAAAAUUGAUGUGACUAAAGAAUGAUUAAAAUAUUAUAAGUAACUUCAAGGAGACACAUAUGAAGUAAUGUAAGCCCAGGAAUUGCUUACAUAAAUCACCAUGUAUGUUGUCAAAUCUGCUAGCCUCUUACAUGCAUUUUUAGUCCAAACUUAAUCAUUUGGCUAUUGAAAUCAUUCUUAAAAAUUGAUCUCAAACAGUGUUAUACAAACAUCAGGGUUUUUAAAAGCCUUGCUACAUUUAAACUUUUUCAUAAUACAAUUUCAAUCUCAAAACAAUAAAUAAUCACAUGGAUAAUGACAGUAACUGAAUCCUAACUAAUUGUAAUACUUCUGCAUAGCCUAGUAACAAUUUAAAAAUGGUGAAGAAUAAAUCUAUUUGACAGGUCUGUUAGCAAUAAGGCCUUCAGGUUUUUGCUUUGCAGCAAAAUGAAGUAAAAUCUAUUAUUUUUUGCUGUUGUUAGAAACGUUUCAACAGUUAGUUAUUUUUCACAGACAAUGCUGCAGGAGGACUCUCCAGGUUGGAAAAAAAAAAAAAAAAUCUUAACACGGUUGAAUUUUACACUUGGCUAUUAUUGGCCAGCAUACAUAAUAAGUUAAAACAUACUGAGAAAUUAAUAUUUUUCUAAGAGGGAAAACUUGAUAGAGGAUUAUAUUUCUACAUUACAGAGUGGAUACUCUAAUCUUUCUGGCAUUGUAAAACUGAAGCUGGCUGCAGGGAAAAUAAACAUUAUAAUAACCGGCACUUAAACAAUUGUACCUAUAUGGUUAAGUAACAAAAGCGUGAGGCACCUGGAAUCACAGUAUUUGUGCCUAAUGCCAGCAACAAUAUAAAGCAUUCAAGUGACAUUUGAUAAUGAGCAGACAGUGGAGGCAUUACACACGUCUUUAGAAGAAUCAGACUUCCUACCUUGAAAAGACAGAUGGAGGGUCUCCCUCUGUUACUCAAGCUAGAUGAAGUGGCACACUCAUAGAUCACUGCACAAUCAACUUACUGGGCUCAAGUGAUGCUUUCACCUCAGCCUCCCAGGUAGCUGGGAUUACAGAUGAGGAAAUGGAGUUACAAAGAAGUAUAUGGCUUGCCUAUGGAGGUGCUGAGAUCCAGGCCAAGGUCACCUUGCAGCCAGGCUACUUUCUGCGGUGCAAUGAUAGAAUGUAAAACUUGUUGAUUGUGGGAAAGAAUCAACUUACUGCUGAUCCAGUAUAGACAUCUUAGUCGGUUUUAUUAACUAAUGUCAGGCAUGACAAUA